GGUUAAGUUAGAAAGGGCGCACGGUGAAUGCCUUGGCACUAGGAGCCGAUGAAGGACGGGACUAACACCGAUAUGCUUCGGGGAGCUGUAAGUGAGCUUUGAUCCGGAGAUUUCCGAAUGGGGAAACCCACUGUUCGUAAUGGAACAGUAUCUUUAUCUGAAUACAUAGGAUAUUGAAGGCAGACCCGGGGAACUGAAACAUCUAAGUACCCGGAGGAAGAGAAAGCAAAUGCGAUUUCCUGAGUAGCGGCGAGCGAAACGGAAUUAGCCCAAACCAAGAGGCUUGCCUCUUGGGGUUGUAGGACACUCUAUACGGAGUUACAAAGGAACGAAGUAAAUGAAGCGACCUGGAAAGGUCCGUCGAAGAAGGUAACAACCCUGUAGUUGAAACUUCGUUCCCUCUUGAGUGGAUCCUGAGUACGGCGGAACACGUGAAAUUCCGUCGGAAGCUGGGAGGACCAUCUCCCAAGGCUAAAUACUACCUAGUGACCGAUAGUGAACCAGUACCGUGAGGGAAAGGUGAAAAGCACCCCGGAAGGGGAGUGAAAGAGAUCCUGAAACCGUGUGCCUACAAGUAGUCAGAGCCCGUUAACGGGUGAUGGCGUGCCUUUUGUAGAAUGAACCGGCGAGUUACGAUCCCAUGCAAGGUUAAGCUGAUAAGGCGGAGCCGUAGCGAAAGCGAGUCUGAAUAGGGCGUUUAGUAUGUGGUUGUAGACCCGAAACCAGGUGAUCUACCCAUGUCCAGGGUGAAGUUCAGGUAACACUGAAUGGAGGCCCGAACCCACGCACGUUGAAAAGUGCGGGGAUGAGGUGUGGGUAGCGGAGAAAUUCCAAUCGAACCUGGAGAUAGCUGGUUCUCUCCGAAAUAGCUUUAGGGCUAGCCUCAUGUUGUAAGAGUCUUGGAGGUAGAGCACUGAUUGGACUAGGGGCCCCCAACGGGUUACCGAAUUCAGUCAAACUCCGAAUGCCAAAGACUUAUCCAUGGGAGUCAGACUGCGAGUGAUAAGAUCCGUAGUCAAAAGGGAAACAGCCCAGACCACCAGCUAAGGUCCCCAAGUAUACGUUAAGUGGAAAAGGAUGUGGAGUUGCUUAGACAACCAGGAUGUUGGCUUAGAAGCAGCCACCAUUUAAAGAGUGCGUAAUAGCUCACUGGUCGAGUGACUCUGCGCCGAAAAUGUACCGGGGCUAAACGUAUCACCGAAGCUGUGGAUUGACAUCUUAGAUGUCAGUGGUAGGAGAGCGUUCUAAGUGC
RNAcentral lists this ribosomal RNA (1252 nucleotides) under Priestia megaterium. RNAcentral describes it as "partial 23S ribosomal RNA". It matches the Rfam family "Bacterial large subunit ribosomal RNA", at positions 1 to 1248 of the family's 2925-position model. Lineage: Bacteria; Bacillati; Bacillota; Bacilli; Caryophanales; Bacillaceae. The record is from RNAcentral.